This 708-nucleotide ribosomal RNA is filed under the name Acanthamoeba hatchetti. RNAcentral's name for it is "SSU rRNA". The stretch from base 1 to 334 matches the Rfam family "Eukaryotic small subunit ribosomal RNA", at positions 784 to 1116 of the family's 1831-position model. Lineage: Eukaryota; Discosea; Longamoebia; Acanthamoebidae. The record is from RNAcentral.
AUUUUCUGCCACCGAAUACAUUAGCAUGGGAUAAUGGAAUAGGACCCUGUCCUCCUAUUUUCAGUUGGUUUUGGCACGCGAGGACCAGGGUAAUGAUUAAUAGGGAUAGUUGGGGGCAUUAAUAUUUAAUUGUCAGAGGUGAAAUUCUUGGAUUUAUGAAAGAUUAACUUCUGCGAAAGCAUCUGCCAAGGAUGUUUUCAUUAAUCAAGAACGAAAGUUAGGGGAUCGAAGACGAUCAGAUACCGUCGUAGUCUUAACCAUAAACGAUGCCGACCAGCGAUUAGGAGACGUUGAAUACAAAACACCACCAUCGGUGCGGUCGUCCUUGGCGCGUCGCGGCUUGCCGUGGCGUGCAUUUUCUGCCACCGAAUACAUUAGCAUGGGAUAAUGGAAUAGGACCCUGUCCUCCUAUUUUCAGUUGGUUUUGGCACGCGAGGACCAGGGUAAUGAUUAAUAGGGAUAGUUGGGGGCAUUAAUAUUUAAUUGUCAGAGGUGAAAUUCUUGGAUUUAUGAAAGAUUAACUUCUGCGAAAGCAUCUGCCAAGGAUGUUUUCAUUAAUCAAGAACGAAAGUUAGGGGAUCGAAGACGAUCAGAUACCGUCGUAGUCUUAACCAUAAACGAUGCCGACCAGCGAUUAGGAGACGUUGAAUACAAAACACCACCAUCGGUGCGGUCGUCCUUGGCGCGUCGCGGCUUGCCGUGGCGUGC